GCCUACAUGAGUAAGAACUCAGCUGUUAGAGCAUGAGGCUCUUAAUCUCAGGGUUGUGGGUUCAAGCCCCAUGAUGGGCA
Molecule: non-coding RNA, 80 nt
Organism: Podarcis lilfordi (Lilford's wall lizard)
Lineage: Eukaryota; Metazoa; Chordata; Lepidosauria; Squamata; Lacertidae
Source: the annotation of a GenBank genome assembly